This 635-nucleotide ribosomal RNA is filed under the name uncultured marine eukaryote. RNAcentral's name for it is "SSU rRNA". It matches the Rfam family "Eukaryotic small subunit ribosomal RNA", at positions 617 to 1259 of the family's 1831-position model. The record is from RNAcentral.
GGUAAAAAAGCUCGUAGUUGGAUUUCUGUUGAGGGCGUCCGGUCCGUACCACGUACGCGUAUCUGGGUCGCGCUCGGCAUCCUCUCGAAAGACGGUUCUGCGCUUGAUUGCGUGGUCCGGGUUUCGGGACUUUUACUUUGAGGAAAUUAGAGUGUUCACGGCAGGCAGUUGCCCGAAUACAUUAGCAUGGAAUAAUACUAUAGGGCUUUGGUUCUAUUUUGUUGGUUUCUAGGACUAAAGUAAUGAUUAAUAGGGACAAUUGGGGGCAUUCGUAUCAACACGCUAGAGGUGAAAUUCUUGGAUUGUGUUGCGACGAACUACUGCGAAAGCAUUUGCCAAGGAUGUUUUCAUUGAUCAAGAACGAAAGUAAGGGGAUCGAAGGUGAUUAGAUACCGUCGUAGUCUUUACCACAAACUAUGCCAACUAGAGAUGGGGCAUCGUUCAAUACGACUUGCUCCGCACCUUAUGAGAUAUCAAAGUCUUUGGGUUCCGGGGGGAGUAUGGUCGCAAGUCUGGAACUUAAAGGAAUUGACGGAAGGGCACCACCAGGAGUGGAGCCUGCGGCUUAAUUUGACUCAACACGGGGAAACUCACCAGGUCCAGACAUAAUAAGGAUUGACAGAUUGAUAGCUCUU